CGGAGGGUGCAAACGUUGCUCGGAAUCACUGGGCGUAAAGCGCACGUAGGCGGCCUUGCAAGUUGGAUGUGAAAGCCCUGGGCUCAACCCAGGAAGUGCAUCCAAAACUGCUUGGCUUGAGUACCGGAGGGGUUCAGAGAAUUCCCGGUGUAGAGGUGAAAUUCGUAGAUAUCGGGAGGAAUACCAGUGGCGAAGGCGCUGAACUGGACGGUAACUGACGCUGAGGUGCGAAAGCGUGGGUAGCAAACAGGAUUAGAUACCCUGGUAGUCCACGCCGUAAACGAUGAGUGCUAGGCGGUGGGAGAUUUUGACCCUCUCGCUGUCGAAGCUAACGCGUUAAGCACUCCGCCUGGGGAGUACGGUCGCAAGACUA
This 373-nucleotide ribosomal RNA is filed under the name uncultured organism. Its description in RNAcentral is "bacterial SSU rRNA". It matches the Rfam family "Bacterial small subunit ribosomal RNA", at positions 526 to 896 of the family's 1533-position model. The record is from RNAcentral.